UGGGGAAUAUUGGACAAUGGGCGAAAGUCUGAUCCAGCCAUGCCGCGUGUGUGAAGAAGGUCUUCGGAUUGUAAAGCACUUUAAGUUGGGAGGAAGGGCAUUAACCUAAUACGUUAGUGUUUUGACGUUACCGACAGAAUAAGCACCGGCUAACUCUGUGCCAGCAGCCGCGGUAAUACAGAGGGUGCAAGCGUUAAUCGGAAUUACUGGGCGUAAAGCGCGCGUAGGUGGUUUGUUAAGUUGGAUGUGAAAUCCCCGGGCUCAACCUGGGAACUGCAUUCAAAACUGACUGACUAGAGUAUGGUAGAGGGUGGUGGAAUUUCCUGUGUAGCGGUGAAAUGCGUAGAUAUAGGAAGGAACACCAGUGGCGAAGGCGACCACCUGGACUAAUACUGACACUGAGGUGCGAAAGCGUGGGGAGCAAACA
RNAcentral lists this ribosomal RNA (427 nucleotides) under uncultured bacterium. RNAcentral describes it as "partial 16S ribosomal RNA". It matches the Rfam family "Bacterial small subunit ribosomal RNA", at positions 355 to 774 of the family's 1533-position model. The record is from RNAcentral.